UGCCUGUCACAUCAUCAUGUGCAGCAGUGGUGUGCACCGGUGUACCCUGAGUGUGACACUGGAGCAAGCCAUCACUCUAGCAAGAAGCCACGGGCUCCCUCCUAGGUACAUUAUGCAGGCCACAGAUGUGAUGAGAAAGCAGGGUGCAAGAGUUCAGAACACAGCUAAGAACUUGGGGGUUAGAGACCGGACUCCUCAGUCAGCUCCGAGGUUGUAUAAGCUGUGUGAGCCACCACCUCCAGUGGGAGACGAAUAAGCAUUCCCAGGAGCCACGAGACAGAUGCUUCCAAAUGCUGGCCAAGUCAACAUUCUCCCCUGAAGACAAAGAAUUGCAUAUUUAAGAAGCAAAGUUUUCCCAUGGUGAAAAUAACUGAUGUUUGGUUUGGAUAUUUAUACUGGAACUAGAAGUUCCUUAAGACAGUUCAGCCUCACAUUCUAGAUAUAUUAAAAUUACAGAUUCAUAUUAGCAUAAAAUUCACUGCUCAAAUUUGUAGAAAAAUAUACAGAGAUAAAAGAUUUAACUAUUUUGAUUCCUUUCUCAUUCGUUAAUUAUAUUGUAUUUGUUUUUAGCUUCCCCAGUGGGCAGAUAUAAUAUUGGUAGUUUCUCGUGAAGAAGUCUGUCACUAAAAAUGAUUGCCACACUCUGGAAACAGUCAUACAAAAAUGUUAAGAACAGUGUAGAUGGGGAGUUACAGGUGUCCCGUCUCCCACUGGUGCCACCUAGAAGUGCACAUGUGGGAGGUAGGAACAUACACACCUCCCUUUCUUCUAAGGCUUCCUGGUAAUGGAGAAAGCUUUGAGGUCCUGGUAAGACUUUUCUUACUCUUGUCCUAUGUACUCCCUGGCCAUGAAAACACUCCAGCAGGCAGGUGCUUUUCUUGAUCUCUUCAGUGAGCCACGAAUCCUGGGUGAUGUACCAUUGAUGGCUGUGUAUAGGGAGUUGCCAGGUUGGAGAGAUGAGAGGAGCCAAUGAAAAUAGCAAGCCUGUUUGACAACUCAACCCUUAAAAGAGAAAGAUAAACUCGCAAUUGUAUGAAGUCGUCCUAUGAGAUGUCAGACCCUUAAAAUAAUACACCUUCAUGAGUAUUUUUCUAUCAAGUUAUAUAUGUAAGAUGUAAAAAUAAAUUUAUUUGUUGUAUUUCAAAGGGCCAUUAGAAAAAAACCUUGAUAAUUUAUGUAUUCAUUCUAAAGUAUAUGCAAUAUUUAUCACUUCUGUGUUGAUGUACUAACAUUGUUUUGAGCACAUAAAUAUAUUAAUAUUGGUUUUAAAUGUGUAACUUUAAAAAUAAUUAAAACGGCAUUACUGUGAUU
RNAcentral lists this long non-coding RNA (1311 nucleotides) under Rattus norvegicus (Norway rat). RNAcentral describes it as "long non-coding RNA NONRATT022990". The record is from RNAcentral. Lineage: Eukaryota; Metazoa; Chordata; Mammalia; Rodentia; Muridae.